This is a small nuclear RNA of Fukomys damarensis (Damara mole-rat), 107 nucleotides long. The record is from Ensembl. NCBI's taxonomy places the organism in Eukaryota, Metazoa, Chordata, Mammalia, Rodentia, Bathyergidae.
CUGCUCGCUUCAGCAGCACAUAUACUAAAAUUGGAAUGAUACAGAGAAGAUUAGCAUAGCCCCUGCGCAAGGAUGACAUGCAAAUCCGUAAAGUGUUCCAUAUUAAA